Molecule: ribosomal RNA, 727 nt
Filed under: Burmannia alba
Lineage: Eukaryota; Viridiplantae; Streptophyta; Magnoliopsida; Dioscoreales; Burmanniaceae
Description: eukaryotic LSU rRNA
Rfam family: 5.8S ribosomal RNA (bases 312-467)
Source: RNAcentral
UUCCGUAGGUGAACCUGCGGAAGGAUCAUUGUUAACUUAUGAGGAAAUGACUAGAGAACUUAUUUUUGCAUCAUUAUAAACUCUUCCUUCAAACAGUAAUACCAGUAUUAAGAGUAUAAUCUUUUUAUUGUAUUGUUUGUUUGAUGGGAAGAGGUGUUGCCUUCGCUCCGAUGUUUCUGUGGGUUGGCAAAUAAUUUCGGACACGGAAUGUGUCAAGGAUAUAGAUUGCUCAUCACAAUAUGAUCUUGAAUUGGGGUUGUUUUUUCCCUCAUUCAAAACGUGCAUGGUGGCAUCAAAUAUUUUGAUAAUAUGACUCUCGACAAUGGAUAUCUAGGCUCUUGCAUCGAUGAAGAACGUAGCGAAAUGCGAUACUUGAUGUGAAUUGCAGAAUCCCGUGAAUCAUCAAUUUUUUGAACGCAAGUUGCGCCUGCAACCUCUUGGUUGCGGGCACGUCCGCUUGGGUGUCACACUUUAUGUUGCUCCAUCCAACAACAAGUUAGACGGAAGCGAAUAUUGGCUCACCGUGCUUUUAUUCGUGGUGAGCUCAAGUAUGAGAUGUCAAUGGAGUGGUAAAUGACGCUUGGUGGGCAGAAGAAUAAGUCUGAUGUUCGGUGUCGUUCUCUCCUUGGCAUGUUCUUGUGCAAAUGUGUUGAAGGGUUAUCCUUGAAUGCAAUUGUAGCAUUCUUUUCCCUUGUAUUGUGACCUCAGGUCAGACGGGACUACCCGC